Unclassified non-coding RNA from Mesocricetus auratus (golden hamster), 333 nucleotides. Its record names the gene 7SK. It matches the Rfam family "7SK RNA". Rfam says of the family: 7SK was discovered as an abundant small nuclear RNA in the mid-70s but a possible function has only recently been suggested. Two independent studies have found that 7SK RNA binds the CDK9/cyclin T complex (known as elongation factor P-TEFb). P-TEFb activates transcription by phosphorylating the C-terminal domain of RNA polymerase II. Lineage: Eukaryota; Metazoa; Chordata; Mammalia; Rodentia; Cricetidae. The record is from Ensembl.
GGAUGAGAGUGUGACAUGGUUGCUAACCUAUGCCACCUCAGGAACUGUCAGUGUUGAUUCUGCUGAAGCUGAUCUGGCUGGCUAGCCAGGUGCCACUUCAUCCCUAAGAUCCCCAUUUUCAUUCCUUUGGUCCUUCUUGAAGCUCCUUGGCAGAAGAGGAUGAUUUCCCAAAACCGAGAAAGACCAGUCUUAGGUCAAGAGUAUACAAGUAGCUGAGCUCCCCUGUUAAGAGUCUCAAAAGCUGUAACAAGUUUUUCCCUAAUAGAGUAAAAAAAAAUAAGAAACCCAAGAGAUGUGAAACAAAAGUAGAUAAAAGACAAAUUUAUCAAGUUU